GAGGCGCCGGAGCGGUUGGCCUGCUGGCCUCGCUGCUUGGCGAUUGGCCGCCCGAGGCCCGGCUCUGCCAUUUCGGGGCUUUCGGUGUGAUCUCAGGGCCGGCGACUUCUCGGGCUGGCCCGCUCUGGAGCCACAUCCUUGCAGGGCGUAGUGGUACACACCGGUCGUCCCACAACUCGGGACAUUUAGGUUUGAACUCUUUCCUUUGGACUGAAAUGGCUGCAACCCGACUUCCAGUGGGAAACCUGUAAAGGCAUCCUGCGGCCUGCCUCCCAUCUGUAGGGCUGGUACCUGGUCCGGUCUGAGGCUGCACUGCUGCUGCUGCUGCUGCUGGACUCAGAGUCUGAGCUGCUUCGGGGAAGGUUGCAGUCAUUACGGUACACCAAGAAACUCUUCUUCACUGGCUGGUUCCCACUGCUGAAGCCAUUGGCUGGAGAUCUUCAGUAGAUACCAGACCUAUUUACUUCUAAAUCCCCAGUUCCUAGCAUGCAUUGGACUCCCAAGCCUGGGCAAAUACUAUGAAACCUGUUGAAUAGCUGAAUGAGAAGACCACCAACUUAGGAGUUGAGGAAGAUGAGAUUAAGCAUUAAAAGUUGCUUAUUGU
This 604-nucleotide long non-coding RNA is filed under the name Mus pahari (shrew mouse). Its description in RNAcentral is "lncRNA (MGP_PahariEiJ_G0002988.1)". The record is from RNAcentral. Lineage: Eukaryota; Metazoa; Chordata; Mammalia; Rodentia; Muridae.